RNAcentral lists this ribosomal RNA (529 nucleotides) under uncultured bacterium. Its description in RNAcentral is "bacterial SSU rRNA". It matches the Rfam family "Bacterial small subunit ribosomal RNA", at positions 352 to 896 of the family's 1533-position model. The record is from RNAcentral.
CAGCAAGGAAUAUUGCGCAAUGGACGAAAGUCUGACGCAGCAACACCGCGUGGAGGAUGACGGCCUUCGGGUUGUAAACUCCUUUUCUGGGGGAAGAGAAAGGACGGUACCCCAGGAAUAAGUCUCGGCUAACUACGUGCCAGCAGCCGCGGUAAAACGUAGGAGGCGAACGUUAUCCGGAUUUACUGGGCGUAAAGCGCAUGCAGGCGGUUUCUUAAGUCGGACGUGAAAGCUCCUGGCUCAACCGGGAGAGGUCGUUCGAAACUGGGGAACUUGAGGAUGGUAGAGGAGAGUGGAAUUCCCGGUGUAGUGGUGAAAUGCGUAGAUAUCGGGAGGAACACCAGUGGCGAAGGCGGCUCUCUGGGCCAUUCCUGACGCUAAGAUGCGAAAGCUAGGGGAGAGAACGGGAUUAGAUACCCUGGUAGUCCACGCCGUAAACGAUGUCAACUAGCCGUUGGUCUUAUUCGUAAGAUUAGUGGCGUAGCUAACGCGAUAAGUUGACCGCCUGGGGAGUACGGCCGCAAGGUUA